This is a long non-coding RNA of Symphalangus syndactylus (siamang), 931 nucleotides long. RefSeq lists it as uncharacterized. The record is from RefSeq and is a predicted model, not a curated record. NCBI's taxonomy places the organism in Eukaryota, Metazoa, Chordata, Mammalia, Primates, Hylobatidae.
AUGCACUGCAGCACUGUAACGUUGAAACUGCCACGUUCAGAGUCACACUGCAGCACCUCGGAUUUGAUAAAUGGUUUGUCCUCAUGAUCCACUGAUGCAGACUACAUGGGAAGUCCCAAUGUCCUGGUGCCCAAAGGCAAGAUCAUUUUCCCCCUGCAGUGUUUCUGUUUAUCAUGGUGAUAUGAGUGGGCUCUUAUUGGGGGUGCCUAAUGCUGCAAUAAAGAAAGGAUUUUCUCAGCCUGGCGCAGUGGCUCAUGCCUGUAAUCCCAACACUUUUGGAGGCUGAGGCAGGCAGAUCACGAGGUCAACAGAUCAAGACCAUCCUGGCCAACAUGGUGAAACACUGUCUCUACUAAAAAUACAAAAAUUAGCUAGGCAUGGUGGCAUGCACCUGUUGUCCCAGCUACUUGGGAGGCUGAGGCAGAAGAAUUGCUUGAACCCGGGAAGCAGAGGUUACAGUGAGCUGAGACCGCACCACUGCACUCCAGCCUGGUGACAGAGCGAGACUCCGUCUCAAAGAAGAAAAAAAAAAGAAAAGAUUUUAUCUUCUGAAUUAAGCUGUAUCCCUCUGAGCUAGUCAGGGAAAUAGGCAAUCUGUAUUUCUAUGGCUCAUAGAUACUGGCAUCACUGGUUAUCACUUGUGAUAAGUAAGCAACAUCCUUCCUUCAUAGAUUUAUAGCUCAGUGUUUGGCAUAUGUGCUACAAUUAUUAUCACAGGCAAGGUGUGCAGAGGCACAGUUUUCUAGGAUACAAGCACCUGUCUGUUUUGUUCACCUCUCCCUAUAUGGCACUUAGCAUAGUGCUUGUCAUAUCAAAGGCACUCAGAAAUGUUAAUUAAAUAAAUAUUAGUGAUAGAAGAAUGUCUUUCUAUUGUCUUCACAUAUGAAUAAAAAGUUGGCCGGGGCAGUGGCUCACGCCUGUAAUCCCAGCA